This 503-nucleotide ribosomal RNA is filed under the name Cytobacillus firmus. RNAcentral describes it as "bacterial SSU rRNA". It matches the Rfam family "Bacterial small subunit ribosomal RNA", at positions 39 to 525 of the family's 1533-position model. The record is from RNAcentral. Lineage: Bacteria; Bacillati; Bacillota; Bacilli; Caryophanales; Bacillaceae.
GCGGCGUGCCUAAUACAUGCAAGUCGAGCGGAAGAUGGGAGCUUGCUCCCUGAAGUCAGCGGCGGACGGGUGAGUAACACGUGGGCAACCUGCCUGUAAGACUGGGAUAACUCCGGGAAACCGGGGCUAAUACCGGAUAAUUCUUUCCCUCACAUGAGGGAAAGCUGAAAGAUGGUUUCGGCUAUCACUUACAGAUGGGCCCGCGGCGCAUUAGCUAGUUGGUGAGGUAACGGCUCACCAAGGCAACGAUGCGUAGCCGACCUGAGAGGGUGAUCGGCCACACUGGGACUGAGACACGGCCCAGACUCCUACGGGAGGCAGCAGUAGGGAAUCUUCCGCAAUGGACGAAAGUCUGACGGAGCAACGCCGCGUGAGUGAUGAAGGUUUUCGGAUCGUAAAACUCUGUUGUUAGGGAAGAACAAGUACCGGCAGUAACUGCCGGUACCUUGACGGUACCUAACCAGAAAGCCACGGCUAACUACGUGCCAGCAGCCGCGUUAAAU